Molecule: long non-coding RNA, 1442 nt
Filed under: Sus scrofa (pig)
Lineage: Eukaryota; Metazoa; Chordata; Mammalia; Artiodactyla; Suidae
Description: lncRNA (ENSSSCG00040063519.1)
Source: RNAcentral
GACCAACUACCUGGAAACCACUCAGAAACCAUCCCAGGCCUAGAGGCUCCAGGCUCUACUCUCAGUCCACAAGGCUUGGAAGACAGCUGAAUCUAGUCAUUGAGCAAAAGUCGGGAAAGCUGGUAGCAUCAGAGGGGGCCAGCAAGAGUGGUCUGGAGGAACUCUCUUGUUGCCACUUUCUACAUGGUCCUACCUCGGGCCUGGAGGGCAACUGGGUUCCGUGAUGAUGUGGAUCUCUUCUAGCUAUGGGAUUCAAGUCCUGCCGAAACCCCUGAACCAGAUCCAUCAGCCAUUUUCUCCUUUGACAUUUUAACAACCCAAAUGGAAAACUCUUGGGGACCCAGUUACAAAGCAUGGAAAAUCUUAGAAGAAUCUCCAAGGCAAUGCAGAGACCCACGGGGCUGCCGCUCUCACCGCAGACCCAGAAUGCACAGGUGCAGAAGGCAAAGCUGUCUCCACCUUAGUUUCACAGGAUGGGCCCACCAGCAGCAAAGCCACAUGUGAGAGGUCAUCCCACGAAGACCUAGGUAUUACAACCCCCACCACCACCGCCACCAAGUGAGUCUGAAGAACAGAGCGUCCUACCAAAGAGAGUGAGUCUAGAGCCUUUAGAUCUAACGCACACUGACAUGCUAUGUUUUAGACUUGGUUGGGGCCGUCACUUUCUCCUUCCUUCCUAUGUCUUCCUUUUGGAAUGAGAUGGUCUAUCUCAUGCCUGUUCCAUUCUUGUACUUUGGAAGUAUGUAAUUUAUCUGGUUUCACAGGUUCACAGCUGGACAGGAAUUUUGUCUGAGGAUGAGUCCAAGCUCAAGUCUCACCCACAUUUCAUUUGAUGAUUUUUAGAUGAGAAGUUGUACCUGAAACUUCAGUUGAUCCUGGCAUGAGUUAAGAGUUUGUGGGCUAUUGAGAGGACAUGUAUGUAUAUCUGUGUGUAAGAAUAGCUUGAACUUGGAGAGGGAAUCAGGGGAAGAAUGUUAGGGACUGAGUUGUGUUCCCUGAAAAUGCAUAUAUUGAAGUCCUAACAGUCCGUGUGAUGGUGUUUGGAGAUAGGCAGUUAAUUAGGUUUCAAUGUCAUGAAAGUAGAAUCCUCAUGAUGAAAUUAGUGUCCUAUAAGGAAAGGAGGAAACCCCAGGCCUACCUCUCUCUACCAUGAGAGGACACGGCAUAAAACACCCUAUACAGGCUGAGAAGAGACAGCUCACCAGAACCCGACCAUGCUGGUGCCCUGAUCUCAGUCAGACUUCCAGCCUCCAGAACUAUGAGAAAAUCAAUGUGCAUUGUUUAAGCCACCACUUUCCUAGAGAUCCCCAUGUAUAACUAGUAUCAUGCAAACUUACUUGACCAUUUACAUCCCUCUCCAUGGAACAUUUCAGAAUAUGAUGUCACAGACAACAGUCUGGGGAGACACGGCGAUGAAUAAAUUGCAGUAAAUAAUGCCCCCA